Long non-coding RNA from Melospiza melodia melodia, 2930 nucleotides. RefSeq lists it as uncharacterized. Lineage: Eukaryota; Metazoa; Chordata; Aves; Passeriformes; Passerellidae. The record is from RefSeq and is a predicted model, not a curated record. The transcript is spliced from 3 exons.
ACAUUUGCCUUAUGCAAUUGUUUUUUAACAUCUUCCUGAGUUACUGUUAGAGUGGAAAGUGCUUCACCCUCAUGACAGGAAUGCCUCAUCUGGCCUUCUCCCAAAUGCAGGAGAGAGAUAUUUAUUGCCUUUCCUUCCUGCCCAGCUACCCACAGGCCCACUGUUCCCAGUCUGUAUUGCACAUGCAGCCAUGGUGGGUCAUGCCCACAGCCUGUCCUGCUGCUGCCCUGGGCUGCAUCAUCCCUGGGAGCCAUGAAGCUCAGAGUGGUGCCACCACUUCCCUGCAUCUCUGCAUCCCGUGAUCAGCAUGACAAGCACCUGCUGCUUGUUUGUUCUCUUGUCCCAUCCCCAAGCAGCGAUGUGCACACAGAUGUCUUCUGUUUAAACAAGCAAAACAUAACAUUUUGUUUGUUUUUUUAACCUACAGAUCUUUUAAGUGGAUGUCAUUAAGCCUUUAUAGUGAAGUGAAGUGUGUGAGGGAAGAAGCAACUGAAAAGAUAGGGGGACAGAGGAGUGAGGGGAACCUCUUCAGUUCCAUACCACAGCAGCUUCACCUGCAGCUCACUGAGGAGAGAUAAACAUAUGGAAACAGCAGCAGAAGAUGCAUUUUAACUGACCUCUGAAAAGCUCAGAGACUGCUUGGAAGUCAAAGGCACAACCACAGGGACAUGUUCUUGUGCUGCUGACUGUGCCAGUGGACAACCUCAGACGCAGAGAAGAUGCCAGGCAGGCCAGAGAGGAGAGUAUCCCCUGCCAGCCUGCAGCCCAGACAGGCAGGCAAAGCCCAGCCCUGGCUGGAGCUAAACAUGGCCUCAUUUCAUGGCAAAACAAUUCCUCUUUGUGCAGCCUGUUCUCCCAGAACAAUCCUCUGCUCUGACAAUAUCCUUUCUAUGGCUUAGUCCCUGUGGAGUGACCAGCAGUGUGCUCAGCCUGAUGCCUGGCAGCUCACACCCCACUGCCACAUGGCCGAGGUGCAGCACCUGCGAUCCCUGCCCUGGGCAGCCUCUGCUGAGACUCUGUGGCUACUUAAGGUCAAGGCAAAAUCUUCUCAGGAAAGUCCCCAGCACAGCCUGAAGCACUUGGGAGGGUUUUUUCUUUUACCUUUGGUCACUCCAUGGAGCUGCAUGGCACCACUGUUCCACAAGUUAGGAGGACAGUCCUGGGACACAGCUGUGGAGCAUGACAUAUGGGUGUCGAGUCACCAAAUCUGACUGUGAUCCCAGCUCCCUGAGUGAAGAAGUCACACAGCUUCACCAAGCUGCUCCCUCAGGCUCCAGACAGUCUGGGAUAGGUUGCCAGAGAUUAUCAACUCCUGUGGGCUUUAAAUCAUAGAGGUAAAAUGAAAUUACUUUGUAUGGAAAGGGGACUUUGGGGAUGAGCAGGGCCGUGGCUUUCUCAUCACCUGCUUUUUCUCUCUUCAGGAGCAUGUGCCCAUGUACCCAGCCUUGAAAGGUCCCUGAGAAGGGGCAGUUUUCAUGUCCCUACAAGAGACAGAGCUCCCAGAGUUCCUGUGGUCUUCUGCCAAGGUGUGGCCUGUGGCCAGGCACCAAUAGUUGUACAGUAACCAAGGACUCCUGUUGAUCUGCAUGUCCUGAAACCUUCUGACCUCCUGACCAUUUCCUGCCUCCUGCCAGUGCACUCUGGGCCUUGAGGUGGUCCUGCCAUGCCUGCUGCCGUGCAGAGACACUGAAGAAUGGGCUUCUCCAGGCUUUUAGGAUCCUCAGACACCUUGCUGUGGCUAUGGCUCGGCUUCUUUCCCUCACCCUGCCCCAUGAUUUGGUGGAUUUGAAACAAGCACCUUUAUUCCAUAAGACUAUCCUCUAGGCCACACGAACAAGUAAAGAUGCUUUAACAGGUCCAGAGUGGGCUGAAACUUCUGGCAUGUCUGUGGAGGACCCCGUGCCCUGUAUUGCUGGGGUGAUGCUGCCAGCCCAUGGAGGUGGGUGGCAGGGUUUACACUGGAGAGGCUGCUAUGCAGCUGACAAAGAAUUCUUGUCACAGUAGGAAACAACAGUCAUGUGUGCUGCCCACCCAGCUGGAAGGCAAAGUCCAGCAAUUAAACACACCGGGGUGAAAGUCUGCUGUCAAACCUCCAGGGCACCACCACAGUGCCAGCAAGAUCCCAGGUGAUGCUCACACUGCCCCUUCCAUCUCAGGGAGUGCCUUUUUGCAGGUGGCAUUUUAAUGUAAAUCUAAGUGUCAUGUUACAACAGGGGUUUCAGCGGGGUCAUUUCGUGCCUGUUGGCUACAGAAAUGUUGUGGGUUGUUUGCUGGUAGCUUGAGGGGCUUAUAGGGACCUCAGAUUCCAGGAAUGCAAGCAUUUAUUUUGGCUUAAGGGAAGAGGGCAACAGUGAUGGGGUAUUUGGCCUUUACUGCCACUACAAUGUAAUCAGCACAAGUAACAAAAAUUUUUCACAGGGUGAGUCACUUAAUCUUGAUAUCAGCUGUGGAAGGAGGCAACACAUCAGCCUGAACACAUGCCCAGGCAUGGCCUACCUGCCCAUCUCCACUUUCUGAAAUUGCAGAGUGACAUGAUGGCAUUUAAUGGGCCUUCAGGUGCUGACUAGUGUCAUCUCUCACCACUUUUAGUGGCCAUAAAAGGCUUUUUUGAUUCUCUCAGUAUAGACAGAGGUGUUGUAGGAGCAUUUCUUGGAUGUGUUGAGAUUGUGAGCAAAUUCAACUUACCAUUUUUUUUUCCUUGGAGCCACAGAGAAAGUGUGCAGCAAUGAUUUGUGGUUGAUACUGCUUUAGAGUCCAACCCCAGGGAAAGGGAGUAGGGUACAACAACAUUAGAGAGCCAGUUUACAUUCACUGUUUUUAUCUGAUCACAUGCAAAAUUUUUGGUUUUUCAGGAUUAAAUAGAAAAGGAUGGGAGGAUCUGCAAAUCAUCUUUCCACUCCUCAAGUGUAUUAAGGUGUGUAAAUUUACUA